RNAcentral lists this ribosomal RNA (301 nucleotides) under uncultured bacterium. RNAcentral describes it as "partial 16S ribosomal RNA". It matches the Rfam family "Bacterial small subunit ribosomal RNA", at positions 509 to 807 of the family's 1533-position model. The record is from RNAcentral.
CAGUAGCCGCGGUAAUACGUAGGGUGCAAGCGUUAAUCGGAAUUACUGGGCGUAAAGCGUGCGCAGGCGGUUUGUUAAGACAGAUGUGAAAUCCCCGGGCUCAACCUGGGAACUGCAUUUGUGACUGGCAGGCUAGAGUAUGGCAGAGGGGGGUGGAAUUCCGCGUGUAGCAGUGAAAUGCGUAGAUAUGCGGAGGAACACCGAUGGCGAAGGCAGCCCCCUGGGCCAAUACUGACGCUCAUGCACGAAAGCGUGGGGAGCAAACAGGAUUAGAGACCCCCGUAGUCCCUGUCUCUUAUAC